Molecule: long non-coding RNA, 4574 nt
Filed under: Podarcis lilfordi (Lilford's wall lizard)
Lineage: Eukaryota; Metazoa; Chordata; Lepidosauria; Squamata; Lacertidae
Source: RNAcentral
AUUAGAAUCUCCCUCCCUCUUUCAGAGACUGACAGAGAGAAUGAGAAUAUAGAGUACUGUGACUUCACAGUAUAGUCAGACAGCAUGACUUCCCAACAGGUUAUUCUGCUUUCCUUUGAACACACCUUCUAGGGGACUGUUAAAAGUACUGAUGGCCUGUGAUAAUUGGGGUUUUCGGAGCCUUCCAUAGAAUGAAACGUUCCUUGAAAUGAAUGUUGUGGAAAGCAGCAGGAGACAAAUCUAGCUGUCUCCAUGGUAGCAAGGCCAGGAUGGGAGAGUGGAAGCAAUAGAUGUACAGUAUCUCCUUGAUCUUCUGCUUACAUCUGGAAAUGUGGUAAUCUGUACAGCAGGAGUGGGGAAUCUGUGUCCCUGCAGACAUUGCUCAUAAUCCCUCACUGUUGCCAUGCUGACUGGUGCUGAUGGAACAACAUCAGAGGACCACUGGUUUGCCACUUCUGCAAUAGAAGUAGAGAGAAAUAAGGAUAAAGAAGGAAGAAUGUGGGAAAAUCCCAUGACAUGCCCCUGGUUACCACUGGUCAGCAGUUUGAAUCCCUGUGACGGGAUGAGCUCCCGUUGCUCUGCCCCAGCUCCUGCCAAACUAGCGGUUUGAAAGCACAGCAGUGCAAGUAGAUAAAUAGGUACCACUGCGGCAGGAAGGUAAAUGGCAUUUCUAUGCACUCUGGUUUCCAUCGCGGUGUCCUGCUGCACCAGAAGCAGUUUAGUCAUGCUGGCCACAUGACCCGGAAAGCUGUCUGCGGACAAACGCCGGCUCCCUCAGCCUGAAAGCGAGAUGAGCACCGCAACCCCAUAGUUACCUUUGGCUGGACUUAACCAUCCUGGGGUACUUUACCUUUUUUUACCUACCAUUGCAGAUGAUGUUGCAAACUCCACUAGGGUGUAGGGAGUGCUACUUACCUGUAGGGACUCUUCAGAUUUCACUGGGCUGUCACUAAAUUCAUUGCACUACUUCUCUGUGCAUGAGAAGCUAUUAGAAUACUCACACAAACCUUUUAAAAACUUUUAAGAAUAUAAGCCGAGCCUUCUGGUUCAGGCCAGUGACUCAUCUAGUUCAGAAUCUUGUUAUCACAAAGGCUAACUAGAUACCUAAAGGGAAACCUACAAGCUGGACCCAAGCAUAAGAGCUCUCAGUACCCCUGCAGUUUCUAUCAACUGGUUUUCAGAAGCUGCUGCUUCUUCUUUGGCAAUCACUCAUAGCCGAAUAAGAUUGUCUUCCAUAAACAUAGUUUUAACAGUGGAUCCGUAAGUGACUGUGGAGGCCAAUUCUGGAUCCACGUGUCCUUCCACAGUGGGUUCAUAGGUUUUUGCCAACUGCCAAAGGACUUUUGGGGUUUGGUUUUGGGGUGGGUUUUUGUGCAUGAAUUUGUUUUAUGUGUGUAGAUCAGUGCAUGCUGAUCAACGCACAGUCUUCUCAGUAAGGCUCUAUUCCAAUGGCAUGAAUAUCACAAUGACCAGUAGAUGCUUAUCUGCUGCUGCCUUCAUCCACCUUCACAGCCAUUGUAACAUACCACUUGUUAUCUUUCGCCUGUUGAGGACUUCUUCGAUCAUUCUUUGUCUAGCUCCUCCCCUUUGACCUUACUGCCUUGGGUGACCCUGAUGGGAGUACGAAACUCCCGGCGGCUUCGCUCACAAGGGUCAUAGGAACGUGCAAGCCCACUCACCACGACAAGGUGAUGAUCCAGCGAGUGAGUAUUCAGAAGCAUACUGACUCUGACAGUGGAGAUGAAGUAUAGCUUUCAGGGAUAGUAGCCACUGAUAACCUGGGCCAGUUGUAUGUAUUUCUAAUAAUCCAAUUGUCUUUUGACACACAUUCUUUGCCAUGCUUAUUUCUCAAGCUAUUUUUUUAGAAAAAGAGUUGAUGGAAUGUACCUUGAACACCUCCCUUGUUCUCUUAUAAUGGCCAUGGCACCCAUCUGAGAGGUGCCGGCUGGGAGGGGGGAAAAGCCCUGCUUAUUUCAGUUUGUGAUUCUGUAUGAUCACAAUAAUAGAGAUAAUUGUUGUAUUCUGCUGGGCCCAAGUGGCACAGUGGUUUAACCCACAGCGCCACCCGCUUGCCCAUCGAAAGGUUGUCGGUUCAAAUCCCUGCGACGGGGUGAGCUCCCGUUGCUCUGUCCCAGCUCCUGCCAACCUAGCAGUUCGAAAGCACGCCCAUGCAAGUAGAUAAAUAGGUACCGCUCUGGUGGGAAGGUAAACGGCGUUUCCGUGCCCUGCUCUGGUUUCACCAGAAGCGGCUUAGGCAUAAUGGCCACAUGACCUGGAAAAAAAAUGUCUGCGGAAGCGGACAAACGCCUGGUCCCUCGGCCUGUAAAGCGAGAUGAGAGUCGCAACCCUAGUGUCAUUCGCGACUGGACUUAAUUGUCAGGGGUCCCUUUACCUUUUUUUAUUCUGCUGAGCAACUGCCAUUUAAGGAUAGAGAGGAAGGAGGAGGCUGUUGCUUAUAUAUUUGUCAUUAAUUGACAUUUUUACCACUAUACUAACAUAUGGCAUACGUAUAUAGAAACUGCCAGAUGUCAAGGAGUCUAACUAGUACACCAUGUUCCUUUCUUUUCUCAAUGCUAAUUCAUACACUGUGUAAUAUAAGCCAACGAACCUUGCAAAGCAUUAAUGCUUGAUAACUGCAACCCGUUAGAAAUCACUUCGUUUGGGUUUCAUGAUUUUCAUUCCUUAGGAUCAAUACAGCAAGCACACACACAAAUCUGUCUAGAAGCCAAACUACUGUGGUGUGGCUCAAGAAAUAUGAGAGAGCAGACAAUUUCAUUGCCGUCUUUCAAUCUGUUCCACCCCCCCCCCCAGGGUGUUGGGGGUUGCAAGUUAUUCUUAUCCAGUCUGUGGCUGAAAUAUUUUAGAAUCUCUUGCCUCCUCCCUCCUUUAGUAGAGAGUGUACCAUCAUUCAUCUGGUGCCACAAAAUUGUAAACGGCCAAUGCCUUUGAUGAGUACCUCACUCUGCUCUUGGCUUCUUUCCUGCAUCGCAAAACAGCAAUAGAUUACCUGUGUGAAAUGAUUUAGCUUUAGUGGGUUUUUCUCUGUCUCCCUACACCCAAUAAGAUACCUUCUUCCUGCCCUCCCAAGAUGCAUAGGAUAGAUACAUCGUCAUUCUUUUGGAAAGCAGUAUUGAAUUAUUAUAUGAUUAAAACAGUUAAUGGAUAGAAUCAGAGAGAGAGAGAGAGAGAGAGAGAGAGAGAGAGAGAGAGAUAUUGAGGGGCUGUUUAGGGCUUUCUAUCAGACCAUUGGUCCAUCUAAUUCAGUCUACAGUGGCUAUCAGCAGGUCUCCAAGAUUUCAGUCAAGGGUCAUUUCAACCUCCACCUGAAGAUGCUGAGGAUUAGACAUAGAACCUUCCACAUGCAAAGCAGAAUCUCUUCCACUGAGAUACGGACCGGUGUAUGCCACAUGGCAAGCUCUGUGCUCCACAAGGUAGCCUUCUGCUCUCAGGUGUGAUGGACAAUGCUGAUCCAUUGCCAGAUCUGAAGUAAGGCUACCUCUGCACCAUGCAUUAAAGCAUUCCUAUGCCACUUUAACAGCCAUGACUUCCCCUCUAAAGACCCACAGCAACUGUGGUGGUUUAAAGGGCUGAGUAUUGUUAGGAGAACCCUCACAGAGCUACAAUUCUGUAGCUAUGACCUUAAAAGUCAGCUACCGAUCUUGUUGGCUUCUGAACAUGAAAUGGGUGGGACACCAUCUUGUCCUUUGCCUCAGGCAUCAAAACAUGAAGGACCACUUGCACUUUGUAUUAAUAAUGUUUACAUUGUUUUAACAUCACCAGUAUUGGAGUGGUGUGACUUCAAUGGAAAUGCUUUAAUAUAAUGAGCCACUUUAACUAAUAUUUACAUUGUGUAUUUUCAUAUCACAUAUGAUACUUGGGGAGGCAAAAUAGCUGUUGUAUGCUGACAGUUGUCCACAGCACACUUGCUAUGUCAUAAUUUUAUCUUUAAAAUAUAUGCACGCAGGCCAAUUUAUUCUGAAUUAAACUGGGUACAAAGUCAGGCAAGUUUCUGCACAUCUUCACUACCAAAGGAGGAUUAAAUCCAUUUUACUGUCAUGGCCUCUCCACAAAGGACCCUGUGAAGGACAGUUGUGAGGGUAUACUAAAAAUGUAAGGGACCAAAACCUCCUCCCAGAACGACGUUUCCCGGUGAGGGAAAACAUCCAUGACAAUGCAGGUAAUUUUAAAUCAGGUUGAGGGUACACCAUUUGAUGUUAGGGAUCUGAUUUAAAUGUGUAUAUAUUUCAACAGAGUAGAUCUGCAUGGAAGACUUCUGAGUAUUGUGGACUAGGGUCAUGCUGAGUCUGAAGCAUGACUUCAUGGUGUGAAGCUGCAGAAGUGUCCGUAGAAUUGAGAGAGAACUAUGCUCCGAGCAGCAGCAGGAAGAGGAAUUACUGUACCCAAACUGAAUUAACCCAUCAACAAAAAGUGGCACUCGUAGGUCUCAUCACAUCAAACUGCUGAGAUACAAAUCACCACAUCAGCGCUUUGCCAGACCAGCAAUCUUCUCAGCAAGGCUUAGUUAUUAAGUUGGAAAUUCGCAAGCCUAGCUAAACAGCAUUACUUGCCAGACC